This 488-nucleotide long non-coding RNA is filed under the name Nicotiana benthamiana. Its description in RNAcentral is "long non-coding RNA (NBEN_LNC002618)". Lineage: Eukaryota; Viridiplantae; Streptophyta; Magnoliopsida; Solanales; Solanaceae. The record is from RNAcentral.
CACCUCACAUGCCCUUUAACACACCUUCACUAUUCCAUAAAUUCCUAGCCAAGUAAAUGAAUUUGAUGUUGCUCGAACACAACUUUUAAUAAGAAUCCCUAAAUUAUCUGAAGCCUUAGUAAUCCUUCCUAAUGAAUAACAUCUUUCAAUAGGAAUUCACGUGCACAAUUUUUUUCCAAUAGUUAUUUGACUUAAUUCAUCCAAUUUAUGUCAAUUCAACCCAUAAAUCAAUUUUAGGGCUCUAUUAGGGUUAUCAUGAGUUCCUAUUUUUCUUUGCCUCGGCAAUGGAGAAAAUAAAGAAGUUGUGAGCAAAGAUAUGGAGAAUAAUACCUGAAAUCUAAGAGAUAGGUAAGAAGAUGAAAAGAACUAAGAGUAUUGUUGAAAGUUUGAAGAAGGAGAACUGAAGUACAAGAGAUGGAAGUCGACAGAUGUUCAUGGUUAAGUCGGAAGAGAUUUUUUCUUUCUUUGAGCAUAAAUGACAAUUUUGC